GGAAAAGAAACCAACAGGGAUUGCCUCAGUAACGGCGAGUGAAGCGGCAAAAGCUCAAAUUUUAAAGCUGGCAUCUUCGGUGUCCGCGUUGUAAUUUUGUGAGGCAUCUCCGGGUAGGGCGCCGGCCUAAGUUCCUUGGAACAGGACGUCACAGAGGGUGAGAAUCCCGUGCUUGGCUGGCUGUCCCCGUCCAUGUGAGGUGUCUUCGACGAGUCGAGUUGUUUGGGAAUGCAGCUCAAAAUGGGUGGUAAAUUUCAUCUAAAGCUAAAUAUUGGUGGGAGACCGAUAGCGCACAAGUAGAGUGAUCGAAAGAUGAAAAGCACUUUGAAAAUAGAGUUAAAAAGUACGUGAAAUUGUUGAAAGGGAAGCGCUUGAGAUCAGACUUCGGUAGGGGGUGAUCAGCCGUCCUUCUGGGCGGUGCACUUGCCCCUCUCCGGGCCAGCAUCGGUUGAGGCGGCGGGAUAAAGGUCCCGGGAAUGUGGCUCCUUCGCGGGAGUGUUAUAGCCCGGGUGAAUGCCGCCAGUCUCGACCGAGGACCGCACCCGCAAGGGUUA
RNAcentral lists this ribosomal RNA (554 nucleotides) under Morchella importuna. RNAcentral's name for it is "eukaryotic LSU rRNA". It matches the Rfam family "Eukaryotic large subunit ribosomal RNA", at positions 55 to 611 of the family's 3401-position model. The record is from RNAcentral. Lineage: Eukaryota; Fungi; Ascomycota; Pezizomycetes; Pezizales; Morchellaceae.